GUGCCGCUGACCCAGCGGGACCGUGAAGGCGCCGCCCUCAAGAUCACGCGCAGCGGCGGGGGGUUCGAAGCCGAGGCGGUGCA
RNAcentral lists this transfer RNA (83 nucleotides) under Bradyrhizobium sp. CIR3A. Its description in RNAcentral is "tRNA-Leu". The record is from RNAcentral. Lineage: Bacteria; Pseudomonadati; Pseudomonadota; Alphaproteobacteria; Hyphomicrobiales; Nitrobacteraceae.